UUUUGUCCCAGAUUUGCGGUGAGGAAAACUAGUGUCACAGAAUAGAUCGCCCCGUACAGUCUUACAUUCCUGCUUUGAAAUAUUAUUUCUCAGAACUGUAGUCAAGUUGCUUAACUUUUGUUGGAUCUCACUGUUCUCAUCUCUGCAUGGGCAGGCUGAAAUAAACCCUAAAGAGAGAAGUUCUAGUUUCAUCUGGUUGAAAGUCUUGGUGGUUUAAUCUGUGGCACCUCUCAGACCUCAGAGAGAAGCCUGGGGCUCGAACUCCCAACCCUGAGACCAAGCAUGACAUGCUUCACAGUCUGAGCAAGACUCCAGGAACGGAGUCUUGCAGAUAGGGGAAGAAGAUUGCUGGUGGAGGCGAGAGCACGAACCCUAAGAGAGAGAGAGCACGCACAAACGGGGCAGCAGCUGGGCGGAAGGAGCAGCAGACUCCCUGCUGAGCAGAGAACCCUAUGCUGGACUCCAUCCCAGGACCCUGGGAUCAUGACCCUGGCUGAAGGCAUAUGAUUAAUUAACUGAGCCACCCAGAUGUCCCCCCCCCUUUUUUUUAGGUGCCUCCUUUUAAAGGACACUCAGGAUCAAGGACAGUGUCUUCUUUCAUCACUAAAACUUGUUUCCAGUGAGUAUAGGUUACGUAUGGUCUCUUAAUUUAUCUCAGAAUAUUCUAGUGUUUUGCCAAUUUCUAUAAAAACAGAAAAUACAAUAAAACUUUGAUAAAUUUAUUAGUAGCUUAUUUGUUUAAAAAAAAAAAAAAGACAAAGCUAGACCUUUGGUCACAGAACUUCCAAGUUUUUUUUCUGUGUGAAGCAAUUUAUACCACAUCAUUGUCAAUUAAUUUUUAUUUUAUGAGCUCACAAGCAAUUAUAUAUCAAAGGCAUUCUUUGUAUUUAAUAGAGUCUUGAUAAAUGGGUCUACACAUAAGAAUUGCCUUGGGACUUUCUGUUUGUUGUUGCAUUAAGAAUGAAUAUGUCAUUUGCUUAGUACCUAACAAGGGCAGACACCCAGGGGUUUAAAACACACACACACACACACACACACACACAGACUUUGCUGGAAUUAAAUAAUAUUUAAUAAAAGUUAAUUGCAAAGGAUCACAUUUGGUUUUCAAAAAAUAACCCUUAAAAGGGGAGCAUUGACAUGGUCACCCGAAGAAACCUGCAAAAGCUUCCAGUGUCCAAAGCCGGAACAAUUUGAGCAACAAAACUAACAGAGUAUUGACUUGUUAUUCAAAGUGUAAUAAAUAUGCGUGAGUCCAACAGAUAUAAAUAAAUAACUGAAUGAAUAAAUAAAUGAGGGAGAAGAGGAC
Molecule: long non-coding RNA, 1306 nt
Organism: Mustela lutreola (European mink)
Lineage: Eukaryota; Metazoa; Chordata; Mammalia; Carnivora; Mustelidae
Exons: 3
Source: RefSeq, a predicted model, not a curated record